UACGGAGGGGGCAAGCGUUAUCCGGAUUUACUGGGUUUAAAGGGUGCGUAGGUGGGUAGGUAAGUCAGUGGUGAAAUCUUCAAGCUUAACUUGGAAACUGCCAUUGAUACUAUUUAUCUUGAAUACUUUGGAGGUAAGCGGAAUAUGUCAUGUAGCGGUGAAAUGCUUAGAUAUGACAUAGAACACCAAUUGCGAAGGCAGCUUACUACACAGUUAUUGACACUGAGGCACGAAAGCGUGGGGAUCAAACAGG
RNAcentral lists this ribosomal RNA (253 nucleotides) under uncultured bacterium. RNAcentral describes it as "partial 16S ribosomal RNA". It matches the Rfam family "Bacterial small subunit ribosomal RNA", at positions 524 to 776 of the family's 1533-position model. The record is from RNAcentral.